Molecule: unclassified non-coding RNA, 302 nt
Filed under: Hevea brasiliensis (rubber tree)
Lineage: Eukaryota; Viridiplantae; Streptophyta; Magnoliopsida; Malpighiales; Euphorbiaceae
Source: RNAcentral
AAUAUAUAGAAUAUAUGAAUUCAUAUAUUUAUACUUGUUAAUAUAAUAAAUUAGAUUUAAAUAAAAUUUAAUUUUAAUUAAUUAUAUGUAAUCACAUGUAAAAUAAGUAUAACUUAUAUCUUAAUUAACCUCUUGGGUCCGAGGUGGGUACGAAUUUCCCUGUAAACGAGUAAUGGAUAAGGUUUAAAUAAGUUUUUUUAAUAUUUUUGAUUCUCUUAAUUAUAUUUUCAAUUACAUCCUUUAAUACAACAAUCCAGUCCUUCCUCGCCAACAAUGAUAACCUCUUUCCUCCGUCUCUCUUC